Ceratobasidium sp. 395 is the source of this 82-nucleotide non-coding RNA. The record is from the annotation of a GenBank genome assembly. NCBI's taxonomy places the organism in Eukaryota, Fungi, Basidiomycota, Agaricomycetes, Cantharellales, Ceratobasidiaceae.
GGCUGUAUAGUGUAGUGGUUUAGCACUCGGGAUUUUGAAGUCAAAUCUUCCCGCAACCUGGGUUCGAGUCCCAGUACGGCCU